CUAUGCAUAGGUUUUUGCUAUUAUGGAUGAUGAGGAGUGCUAGCGACAGUCGCUGGCCUCCUUUUGUCACGUGUCUAUGUUUAUGCUUUUCAUACAUUAGCUUUGUUAUUUAAAAAAAAUGUCCUUCAAAUUAACAUUUAUUACAAAUCUGCCACCAAUACCAAUUGCGUGGAGUGAGCUUCGCUUGCCUGCUCUUCAAAAUAAAAACAAACAAGGACGCAGAUAGCUUCACUUGUCUGCCUUUCAAAUCCAGUGUUUCCAUCAUCAAGCUCUCCUCGUCUUCCACUUCAAUUCCCCCGCUCGCUUCCAGCUUCCUUCGUUGUACAAUUGCCCUCGAAUUCUAUCCAAAUUUACCGCCAUGCCAUUUCUCCUCUUUCAUAGCCCUGGUAAUUCCACUUAUCUGAAACUAAACUUUGAGUUUCUUUCCUCGAAUCCAAAUUUACUUAUUUAUUAUCUUUUUUUGUCCCCCAAAAUAUGUGGCACUGUGUGGUGAAAUUGUUGUGCUGAACAACAAAUAAGCUUUGGGAGACGGCGGUAAGCGGUUCAGGCAACAAAGUUUUGGGAAGAGAAACAAUUGAAGAAUUGGAGUUUCUAAUCGACAAAAGAGAACAUCUGUAUAGAAGAGUAUGGUAAAUUUGUAAUAAAUUUUAAUUUGAAG
Molecule: long non-coding RNA, 658 nt
Filed under: Citrus maxima (pomelo)
Lineage: Eukaryota; Viridiplantae; Streptophyta; Magnoliopsida; Sapindales; Rutaceae
Description: long non-coding RNA (CMAX_LNC001387)
Source: RNAcentral